CUAUUUCCUUCGAUAUCAGUGUAAUAUAAUAAUCAUGAUAUUUGCUGUCAUGCAUGAUUAUUGGAUUACACUAGACAGCAGAUUACUAUAGAUUACCAUGCAAGACAGCAAAUAUCAUAAUUAUUAGAUUACACUGAUAUCGAAGGAACUA
Molecule: non-coding RNA, 151 nt
Organism: Paramuricea clavata
Lineage: Eukaryota; Metazoa; Cnidaria; Anthozoa; Malacalcyonacea; Plexauridae
Source: the annotation of a GenBank genome assembly